RNAcentral lists this ribosomal RNA (402 nucleotides) under uncultured Neorickettsia sp. Its description in RNAcentral is "partial 16S ribosomal RNA". It matches the Rfam family "Bacterial small subunit ribosomal RNA", at positions 355 to 774 of the family's 1533-position model. Lineage: Bacteria; Pseudomonadati; Pseudomonadota; Alphaproteobacteria; Rickettsiales; Anaplasmataceae. The record is from RNAcentral.
UGAGGAAUAUUGGACAAUGGGCGAAAGCCUGAUCCAGCCAUACCGCAUGAGUGAUGAAGGCCCUAGGGUUGUAAAGCUCUUUUAGUGGGGAAGAUAAUGACGGUACCCACAGAAGAAGUCCCGGCUAACUCCGUGCCAGCAGCCGCGGUAAUACGGAGGGGGCUAGCGUUGUUCGGAAUUACUGGGCGUAAAGGGUGCGUAGGCGGCCUGAUAAGUUAAAUGUGAAAUCCUUGAGCUCAACUCAAGAAGUGCAUUUAAAACUAUCAGGCUUGAAUGUGAGAGAGGGUAAUGGAAUUUCUGGUGUAGGGGUGAAAUCCGUAGAUAUCAGGAGGAACGUCGGGGGCGAAAGCGAUUACCUGGAUCAUUAUUGACGCUGAGGCACGAAAGCGUGGGGAGCAAACA